RNAcentral lists this ribosomal RNA (325 nucleotides) under uncultured eukaryote. Its description in RNAcentral is "partial 18S ribosomal RNA". It matches the Rfam family "Eukaryotic small subunit ribosomal RNA", at positions 1470 to 1796 of the family's 1831-position model. The record is from RNAcentral.
CCCUUAGAUGUUCUGGGCCGCACGCGCGCUACACUGAUUCAUGCACUAAGUAUAUAACCUUGGUAGAAAUGCCUGGGUAAUCUUUGAAACUGAAUCGUGCUGGGGAUUGGAGCUUGUAAUUAUUCUCCAUGAACGAGGAAUUCCUAGUAAACGCGAGUCAUCAGCUCGCAUUGAUUACGUCCCUGCCCUUUGUACACACCGCCCGUCGCACCUACCGAUUGAGUGAUCCGGUGAAUAAUUUGGACCGACGCAGUGCUCAGCUUCUGGACGUUGCGUUGGAAAGUUUCAUGAACCUUAUCACUUAGAGGAAGGAGAAGUCGUAACA